AACUGUCUUGAGUCAUUUCUAGGGUUUCAUUCCAUCGUUCAAAUUAGGGUUAAGGUAUCCAUCAAAGCAAAACCCAAGUAAUCAUGCCGAAGAAUAAGGGAAAGGGAGGAAAGAAUAGGAAGAGAGGAAAGAACGAAGCUGAUGAUGAAAAGAGAGAGCUUGUUUUUAAGGAAGAUGGGCAGGAAUAUGCUCAAGUUCUUCGUAUGCUUGGAAAUGGACGGUGUGAAGCUAUGUGUAUUGAUGGGACUAAACGUCUUUGUCACAUACGUGGUAAGAUGCAUAAGAAAGUUUGGAUUGCCGCCGGUGAUAUCGUCCUUGUCGGACUCCGUGAUUAUCAGGCAAGAUCCGAUUUUUUUUCGAUUGAAUCUUUUUCUUAUAUGGUUUUUGCAGAUGGGAAGAAAUUAUAUUGCUUUAAUCGACCCUGUUAAAAAUUGAAAUUUUCCCUCUUUAUUUCUCGCGUCCCCUAUGAAAAAUUGAGAUUUUGAUAGACCGGAAUUGAGCGGAAAAGAGUAUAGAGGUUCAACUAGUUCAGAAUUGGGAUGAAAUUAUUGAUUGAUUGAUUGGAAACUGUGAUUUUGAUUUUUCCUUCCUGUCUUUUGAGCUGUGUUUUAUGUAUUUGUAUACCUUUUCUAAAAGUUGUGGAUUCCUCCCAAAAAAGAAUUGAGUAGAUGAUUCAUAUUUCUUGUUCGUUCACUGAUUGUAAAUUUUUUGAUAACCUUUCAAUAACGCAUGAUAUGCAUUAUUGCAAUUUGUGUAUUUGGCCAAAGCUAAUUUAGUUCCACAGUUCUUUGAUUAAAGCCUCUCUAAGGGCUGCGUACACUCUACCCUCCUCAAACCCCACUUGGGUCUACAUGGGGUAUCUUGUUGUAAUCCUUUGCUUGAAGAACAAAGAUGGUACUUUCAUUUGAUUAUUGAGUGUCACAAGAGUAUAAAUGUAAAAUCUUCAUAUUUAUUUGUAUUAUGAUUGGCUAUUUGAGUGUGCAAGUAUAAAUAUGAAGUCUUUAUACCCAGUUGUUGGUCUCAAUGGUGAAUUCUGGUUGUCCUACAUGAUGUGAUGUAGAUGGAAUUCUAGAUACAAUAGAGGAUCCGCGCAAUCUCCAAUUACCCUUAGUGCAAGUAUUUGUAAAUAUUUGAUCACUUAUCCCAAAAAAAAUAAAUGUUAAGAGUGCCAGGGAGAUCUCUGGGUUUCUAAAUGUGCCUCUUUCUCAUGUGAGGAUCUUCUCUGUAAUGUUUUACUUGGGGGAUUAAUCUACAUUGGGUUACUUGUUUAUGUUUUCUCAGUUCUUAUAUAAUGUGAACUUGGAUUCUCUUUAAUUGUUUUCUCUAAACUUUCCUAUUUGGGUUUUUGCCAGGAUGACAAGGCUGAUGUUAUUCUGAAGUAUAUGCCAGAUGAGGCAAGGUUGUUGAAGGCAUAUGGGGAGUUGCCAGAGAACACUAGGCUCAAUGAGGGUAUUGCUAAUUUGGAUGAAGAAGAUGAGAAUGCUGCUGAUGACUACAUUGAGUUUGAAGACGAAGACAUCGACAAAAUCUAAAACUCCUUAUCUAAACAGUGCUGUCACUGGGGGUUCCUGUUGGCCUCACAAAUAUUUCCUUAAGAGUUUGAGUUCAAUACAAAAAGAAAGAGAGAGACCUUAUAUGUAC
Molecule: long non-coding RNA, 1641 nt
Filed under: Solanum tuberosum (potato)
Lineage: Eukaryota; Viridiplantae; Streptophyta; Magnoliopsida; Solanales; Solanaceae
Description: long non-coding RNA (STUB_LNC002203)
Source: RNAcentral